This 274-nucleotide ribosomal RNA is filed under the name uncultured bacterium. RNAcentral describes it as "partial 16S ribosomal RNA". It matches the Rfam family "Bacterial small subunit ribosomal RNA", at positions 523 to 796 of the family's 1533-position model. The record is from RNAcentral.
AUACGGAGGGUGCGAGCGUUGUUCGGAAUUACUGGGCGUAAAGCGGGUGUAGGCGGUGGAUCAAGUCAGAUGUGAAAGCCCUCGGCUCAACCGAGGAAGUGCAUCUGAAACUGGUUCACUAGAGUACGGGAGAGGAGAGUGGAAUUCCCAGUGUAGAGGUGAAAUUCGUAGAUAUUGGGAGGAACACCGGUGGCGAAGGCGGCUCUCUGGAACGAUACUGACGCUGAGACCCGAAAGCGUGGGGAGCAAACAGGAUUAGAAACCCCGGUAGUCC